This 620-nucleotide ribosomal RNA is filed under the name Mesorhizobium sp. I12B-00872. Its description in RNAcentral is "bacterial SSU rRNA". It matches the Rfam family "Bacterial small subunit ribosomal RNA", at positions 106 to 761 of the family's 1533-position model. The record is from RNAcentral. Lineage: Bacteria; Pseudomonadati; Pseudomonadota; Alphaproteobacteria; Hyphomicrobiales; Phyllobacteriaceae.
GUGAGUAACGCGUGGGAAUCUACCCAUCUCUACGGAACAACUCCGGGAAACUGGAGCUAAUACCGUAUACGUCCUUCGGGAGAAAGAUUUAUCGGAGAUGGAUGAGCCCGCGUUGGAUUAGCUAGUUGGUGGGGUAAUGGCCUACCAAGGCGACGAUCCAUAGCUGGUCUGAGAGGAUGAUCAGCCACACUGGGACUGAGACACGGCCCAGACUCCUACGGGAGGCAGCAGUGGGGAAUAUUGGACAAUGGGCGCAAGCCUGAUCCAGCCAUGCCGCGUGAGUGAUGAAGGCCCUAGGGUUGUAAAGCUCUUUCAACGGUGAAGAUAAUGACGGUAACCGUAGAAGAAGCCCCGGCUAACUUCGUGCCAGCAGCCGCGGUAAUACGAAGGGGGCUAGCGUUGUUCGGAAUUACUGGGCGUAAAGCGCACGUAGGCGGAUACUUAAGUCAGGGGUGAAAUCCCGGGGCUCAACCCCGGAACUGCCUUUGAUACUGGGUAUCUCGAGUCCGGAAGAGGUGAGUGGAAUUCCGAGUGUAGAGGUGAAAUUCGUAGAUAUUCGGAGGAACACCAGUGGCGAAGGCGGCUCACUGGUCCGGUACUGACGCUGAGGUGCGAAAGCG